CGUACGUGGGGGCAGGGGGCGCGGGAAGACGAAGGGGGGGGGGGGUGGUCGGAAUCACUUGGCUUAAAGCGUGCGUAGGCGGAUAAGAAAGUCAGGAGUGAAAUCCCGGGGCUUAACCCCGGAACUGCUCUUGAAACUCCCUAUCUAGAAUCCGACAGAGGUUAACAGAAUUCCGAGUGUAGAGGUGAAAUUCGCAGAUAUUCGGAGGAAUACCAGUGGCGAAGGCGGUUAACUGGGUCGGUAUUGACGCUGAGGUACGAAAAGCGUGGGGAGCAAACAGGAUUAGAUACCCUAGUAGUC
Molecule: ribosomal RNA, 300 nt
Filed under: uncultured Thermotoga sp.
Lineage: Bacteria; Thermotogati; Thermotogota; Thermotogae; Thermotogales; Thermotogaceae
Description: partial 16S ribosomal RNA
Rfam family: Bacterial small subunit ribosomal RNA
Source: RNAcentral